UAUCCGGCAGAUCCACAAAUUUGA
This 24-nucleotide non-coding RNA is filed under the name Cricetulus griseus (Chinese hamster). The record is from RNAcentral. Lineage: Eukaryota; Metazoa; Chordata; Mammalia; Rodentia; Cricetidae.